GACGAACGCUGGCGGCGUGCUUAACACAUGCAAGUCGAACGGAAAGGCCCUGCUUUUGUGGGGUGCUCGAGUGGCGAACGGGUGAGUAACACGUGAGUAACCUGCCCUUGACUUUGGGAUAACUUCAGGAAACUGGGGCUAAUACCGGAUAGGAGCUCCUGCUGCAUGGUGGGGGUUGGAAAGUUUCGGCGGUUGGGGAUGGACUCGCGGCUUAUCAGCUUGUUGGUGGGGUAGUGGCUUACCAAGGCUUUGACGGGUAGCCGGCCUGAGAGGGUGACCGGCCAAAUUGGGAAUGAGAUACGGCCCAGACUCAUACGGGAGGCAGCAGUGGGGAAUAUUGCACAAUGGGCGGAAGCCUGAUGCAGCAACGCCGCGUGCGGGAUGACGGCCUUCGGGUUGUAAACCGCUUUCGCCUGUGACGAAGCGUGAGGGACGGGAAUGGGUAAAGAAGCACCGGCAAACUACGU
Molecule: ribosomal RNA, 467 nt
Filed under: uncultured bacterium
Lineage: Bacteria
Description: partial 16S ribosomal RNA
Rfam family: Bacterial small subunit ribosomal RNA
Source: RNAcentral